AAGUCGUAACAAGGUUUCCGUAGGUGAACCUGCGGAAGGAUCAUUACCGAAUUGUCAACAAGAGCUGUUGCUGGUCUCUGUAUGGGGGCAUGUGCACGCUCUGUUUACACAUCCACUCACACCUGUGCACCCUCUGUAGUUCUGUGGCCUGGGUGGGCUCUGUCCCCCUGCUGUGGUUCUGCGUCUUUACACACACACUACAACAAAGUCUCAUGGAAUGUAUGUCGCGUUUAACGCAAUGAAAUACAACUUUCAGCAACGGAUCUCUUGGCUCUCGCAUCGAUGAAGAACGCAGCGAAAUGCGAUAAGUAAUGUGAAUUGCAGAAUUCAGUGAAUCAUCGAAUCUUUGAACGCACCUUGCGCCCUUUGGCUAUUCCGAAGGGCAUGCCUGUUUGAGUAUCAUGAACACCUCAACUCUCAUGGCUUGCCGUGAUGAGCUUGGACUUUGGGGGUCUUGUUGGCCUGUGAGCCAGCUCCUCUUAAAUGAAUUAGCUUGCCGGUGUUUGGUGGCAUCACAGGUGUGAUAACUAUCUACGCUUGUGGUUUCCCAUCAGAUAACCUUCAGCAAUGGAGGUUCGCUGGGGCUUAUAAACAUCUCUCCUCGGUGAGGACAGAUUUUGACCGUUUGAUCUCAAAUCAGGUAGGACUACCCGCUGAACUUAAGCAUAUCAAUAAGGCGGA
This 681-nucleotide ribosomal RNA is filed under the name uncultured Tomentella. RNAcentral's name for it is "eukaryotic LSU rRNA". The stretch from base 248 to 402 matches the Rfam family "5.8S ribosomal RNA". The record is from RNAcentral. Lineage: Eukaryota; Fungi; Basidiomycota; Agaricomycetes; Thelephorales; Thelephoraceae.